GAUGAACGCUGGCGGCGUGCCUAAUACAUGCAAGUCGAGCGAACAGACGAGGAGCUUGCUCCUCUGACGUUAGCGGCGGACGGGUGAGUAACACGUGGAUAACCUACCUAUAAGACUGGGAUAACUUCGGGAAACCGGAGCUAAUACCGGAUAAUAUAUUGAACCGCAUGGUUCAAUAGUGAAAGACGGUUUUGCUGUCACUUAUAGAUGGAUCCGCGCCGCAUUAGCUAGUUGGUAGGGUAACGGCUUACCAAGGCGACGAUGCGUAGCCGACCUGAGAGGAUGACCGGCCACACUGGAACUGAGACACGGUCCAGACUCCUACGGGAGGCAGCAGUGGGGAAUAUUGCACAAUGGGCGCAAGCCUGAUGCAGCCAUGCCGAGUGUAUGAAGAAGGCCUUCGGAUUGUAAAGUACUGUCAGCGGGGAGGAAGAGAGUAAAGUUAAUACCUUCGCUCAUUGACGUUACCCGCAGAAGAAGCACCGGCUAACUCCGUG
This 497-nucleotide ribosomal RNA is filed under the name uncultured bacterium. RNAcentral's name for it is "partial 16S ribosomal RNA". It matches the Rfam family "Bacterial small subunit ribosomal RNA", at positions 28 to 507 of the family's 1533-position model. The record is from RNAcentral.